CCCUUAGAUGUCCUGGGCUGCACGCGCGCUACACUGAUGUGUCCAGUAAGCACCUAACCUCUUCCGAAAGGAACGGGUAACCUUUGCAAAGCACAUCGUGAUGGGGAUAGAUUAUUGCAAUUAUUAGUCUUGAACGAGGAAUUCCUAGUAAGCACAAGUCAUCAGCUUGUGUUGAUUACGUCCCUGCCCUUUAUACACACCGCCCGUCGCUCCUACCGAUUGAAUGUUCCGGUGAGCUCUUCGGACUGCGCGGUCUGCAGUUUCUGCGUUCCGUGCGGAAAGUUGCGCAAACCUUAACAUUUAGAGGAAGGAGAAGUCGUAACA
This 324-nucleotide ribosomal RNA is filed under the name uncultured eukaryote. RNAcentral's name for it is "partial 18S ribosomal RNA". It matches the Rfam family "Eukaryotic small subunit ribosomal RNA", at positions 1470 to 1796 of the family's 1831-position model. The record is from RNAcentral.